This 253-nucleotide ribosomal RNA is filed under the name uncultured bacterium. RNAcentral describes it as "partial 16S ribosomal RNA". It matches the Rfam family "Bacterial small subunit ribosomal RNA", at positions 524 to 776 of the family's 1533-position model. RNAcentral also lists the same sequence under 1 other name. The record is from RNAcentral.
UACGUAGGAUCCAAGCGUUGUCCGGAUUUACUGGGUGUAAAGGGUGCGCAGGCGGACUUAUAAGUCAGGGGUGAAAUCUCGCUGCUCAACAGCGAAACUGCCUUUGAUACUGUAGGUCUUGAAUUAGGGAGAGAUUCGUGGAAUUCCGAGUGUAGCAGUGAAAUGUGUAGAUAUUCGGAAGAACACCAGAGGCGAAGGCAGCGAAUUGGCCCUAUAUUGACGCUCAGGCACGAAAGCAUGGGGAUCAAACAGG